Molecule: ribosomal RNA, 449 nt
Filed under: uncultured bacterium
Lineage: Bacteria
Description: bacterial SSU rRNA
Rfam family: Bacterial small subunit ribosomal RNA
Source: RNAcentral
UGGGGAAUAUUGGACAAUGGGGGCAACCCUGAUCCAGCAAUGCCGCGUGUGUGAAGAAGGCCUUCGGGUUGUAAAGCACUUUAGUUGGGGAGGAAGGUGAGUAGUUUAAGAGAUGAUUCAUUUGACUGUACCCAAAGAAUAAGCACCGGCUAACUCUGUGCCAGCAGCCGCGGUAAUACAGAGGGUGCGAGCGUUAAUCGGAAUUACUGGGCGUAAAGGGCGCGUAGGCGGUAGGAUAAGAUGUAUGUGAAAACCCUGGGCUUAACCUGGGACGUGCAUACAAGACUGUUUUACUAGAGUACAGUAGAGGGUAGUGGAAUUUCCGGUGUAGCGGUGAAAUGCGUAGAUAUCGGAAGGAACACCGGUGGCGAAGGCGGCUACCUGGGCUGAUACUGACGCUGAGGCGCGAGAGCGUGGGGAGCAAACAGGAUUAGAUACCCGCGUAGUCC